Molecule: ribosomal RNA, 817 nt
Filed under: uncultured fungus
Lineage: Eukaryota; Fungi
Description: SSU rRNA
Rfam family: Eukaryotic small subunit ribosomal RNA
Source: RNAcentral
UUCGCUCUUGUGCCAGCAGCCGCGGUAAUUCCAGUAACAGGAUAGCGUAUAUUAAAGUUGUUGUGGUUAAAAAGCUCUGUAGUUGAACCUUGGGCCUGGCUGGCCGGUCCGCCUCACCGCGUGCACUGGUCCGGCCGGGCCUUUCCCUCUGUGGAACCCCAUACCCUUCACUGGGCGUGGCGGGGAAACAGGGCAUUUACUUUGAAAAAAUUAGAGUGCUCCAGGCAGGCCUAUGCUCGAAUACAUUAGCAUGGAAUAAUAAAAUAGGACGCGCGGUUCUAUUUUGUUGGUUUAUAGGACCGCCGUAAUGAUUAAUAGGGACAGUCGGGGGCAUCAGUAUUCAACUGUCAGAGGUGAAAUUCUUGGAUCAGUUGAAGACUAACUACUGCGAAAGCAUUUGCCAAGGAUGUUUUCAUUAAUCAGGAACGAAAGUUAGGGGAUCGAAGACGAUCAGAUACCGUCGUAGUCUUAACCAUAAACUAUGCCGACUAGGGAUCGGACGGUGUUAUUCAUGACCCGUUCGGCACCUUACGAGAAAUCAAAGUGCUUGGGGCUCCAGGGGGAGUAUGGGUCGCAAGGCUGAAACUUAAAGAAAUUGACGGAAGGGCACCACCAGGGUGGAGCCUGCGGCUUUAAUUUGACUCAACACGGGGAACUCACCAGGCCCAGACAACAAUUAGGGAUUGACAGAUUGAGAGCUCUUUCUUGGAUUUUGUGGGGUGGGGGGUGCAUGGCCGGUUCUUAAGUUGGUGGGGGUGACUUGGUCUGCUUUAUUUGCGAUAACGAAACGAGAGAUCUUUAACUCUGCUAAAUAGUC